This is a long non-coding RNA of Bufo bufo (common toad), 118 nucleotides long. RefSeq lists it as uncharacterized. The record is from RefSeq and is a predicted model, not a curated record. The transcript has 3 exons. Lineage: Eukaryota; Metazoa; Chordata; Amphibia; Anura; Bufonidae.
GGGGGCCGGAGCGCCGGACAGACACAGUAGUAAGCGAUAUUACAUCCAUGAAUUAUGCCCUACACAACCCCCUACUUAUUUCAUAAUGUCUGGACCCAUGAAAGCAAGCCAGUAAAGA